Molecule: long non-coding RNA, 1073 nt
Organism: Drosophila serrata
Lineage: Eukaryota; Metazoa; Arthropoda; Insecta; Diptera; Drosophilidae
Source: RefSeq, a predicted model, not a curated record
GCAGGACUCUACAAAAUGCUAACCAAUCUGCAUAAAAUUUCUUGGCAAAUACGUGAAAUCGAAUGGAAAAUUUGUUAAGUCGCAAAUCGUUUUAUUUUUGUGAUUUGUGUGGCUUUCAAAUUGCAAAAUUCGCCGAGGCUGACAUUUUGUUGAACAACAACAACAACAGCAACAGCAGCAGGAAUAUCAACAGGAGCAGGACCAGGACUAGGACCAGGACCUGGUCUUUGAGCAUGGAGCAUCAGCAGGAUGCAGGAGCAGCAACAGGGAGUCGCCAUAGAAAAACAUGGUUAAAAAAAAUAAGCCCGGCUCACGCGUGGUUAUGGAAAUGGAUCCCAUGGCCAAGGGACGGGGACGGGAAGAGUCCUUAUGCUGCCUGGACCAGGGUCUAUUGUUGGGGACGUGGCCUACAUCAACAUCUCCAUAGCUCAAUCCACAUUCAAGCACAGCACUGGCAAGGAAAAUAAUAGAGAGUACUGUGUAAUACCCAGUAAUAUGUUCAAUCAAAAGCAUAUCUGCUUAGAAGGUUGAGCAUCUGCUGCCCCGUUGACUGUUGGCCUUGUUUUUGGUUUCUAUUUUUUUUUUGGGUAUAAUGACCAUGCAACAGCAGCUCCUGUGGAAAAGAAGCAAUGACUCCACUGGUCAAUGGCAAAUGAAAAAUGGCCACUCCAAAAUGCAACUUCAAGCUCAACCUCAACGCAACUCAUCUCCCGGCUGACUUUCACAUUUCGCUUUCAUUGCCACAGCGACAUAAACAACACGGUAGCAACAUCCUUCAGCAAGGAGCAGGAACAGGACCAAGAGGAGGAAGAGCAGGAACAGGACCAAGAGGAGGAGCAGAACAAGGACCAAGAGGAGGAGCAGGAACAGGACCAAGAGCAGGAGCAACAUCAGGACUAGAAGGAAAAGCUGGAUCCUCGUUUGCCCUCGCCAAAUUGGAAAAUAUGUUUUGUUUUUCUGCGCUUUCCCCUCGACAGCCUCAAGUCAAGUUAGUCGAGUUAGAAAUUGGAAAAUUGCACGGCAACCUGGACAGGUUUUUUUCGGCCAAAAGAGGAGGAGGAUGAAGAACAGGA